ACGAACGCUGGCGGCAUGCCUAACACAUGCAAGUCGAACGAACCCUUCGGGGUUAGUGGCGCACGGGUGCGUAACGCGUGGGAACCUGCCUUUUGGUUCGGAAUAACAGUGAGAAAUUACUGCUAAUACCGAAUGAUGUCUACGGACCAAAGAUUUAUCGCCAUUAGAUGGGCCCGCGUAGGAUUAGCUAGUUGGUGGGGUAAAGGCCUACCAAGGCGACGAUCCUUAGCUGGUCUUAGAGGAUGAUCAGCCACACUGGGACUGAGACACGGCCCAGACUCCUACGGGAGGCAGCAGUGGGGAAUAUUGGACAAUGGGCGAAAGCCUGAUCCAGCAAUGCCGCGUGAGUGAUGAAGGCCUUAGGGUUGUAAAGCUCUUUUACCCGGGAUGAUAAUGACAGUACCGGGAGAAUAAGCCCCGGCUAACUCCGU
This 431-nucleotide ribosomal RNA is filed under the name uncultured bacterium. Its description in RNAcentral is "bacterial SSU rRNA". It matches the Rfam family "Bacterial small subunit ribosomal RNA", at positions 29 to 506 of the family's 1533-position model. The record is from RNAcentral.